Molecule: long non-coding RNA, 6276 nt
Organism: Chinchilla lanigera (long-tailed chinchilla)
Lineage: Eukaryota; Metazoa; Chordata; Mammalia; Rodentia; Chinchillidae
Exons: 5
Source: RefSeq, a predicted model, not a curated record
CAGGAAGGCCUUCACCCAGGAGUGCGAUGCCUGCAGCUACAGUCUUUAUCUAGUUAAUAGAGGUUGGAGUCAGGUGUCCUUAGCCCUGGCUCUGCCUUGUCCUUUGAGGCACCAGGACUUCACCCACCAUUACAGGCCGCCAUCUCCAGUCAAGGGGCCGACGUCUUGCGCAGACUUACAAGUAAACCCAAAAAGCCAAUUGGUUAAUUUGAGCUUGCUCAGAGCUGCUUCGUAGUGGUCUCCAUCACAAGGGCAUCGCUUACCCUGCAUGGGUGCCAGCAUAGCCCCCAGCAGCUGCUCCAUCUGCCCUCUAGGGACUGGGAGGUAGCUUAGACACAGCAGAAUCCCAAGAAGCCGUUGCUUUGUUGAAAAAAAGUAAGGGAAUCGUGUAGGCCCUCAUCGCAGGCAGAAUAAAACUCCUAAGGUUGACAUUCAAGGCUCCGACUUUCCAAAUCAGGUUUCCCUUACCUUUGUCCUGUUUCUCCUCCCUGCUGAGGCCCUAUCUUGGGGUCUGACUGUCACAGCACAGCACUGGGUGGUAGCUGACCUUCUACAGUCCGUUUGAGGAAGCAGUUGCACAGCACCAACUAACUGCCAGGCAGGGACCCCACUUUGUCCGCAUCCCCCUUACAGGGGCCCCCUUUAUGAUGUAGUCCCUGUUCUCAGGUGAGGUGACAGAGGCUCAGACUGAAAUCCACUGAGGUGUCCAGACCUGUCAAAACUGGCCCUGUGUCUGAUCACCCUGUGGGGCUUUUCCAUGAACGAAGGGUGGGGGGUGGGGCCCUCGCCUAGAUGAUUUGAUUGGUAACCUGGGGUGGGAAUGGAGAAUUUGCAUGUAUAAUAAGCUCCCAGUCGACAGCAUGCUCUUGGUCUGGGCCCAUCCUUUGAGAAUCUCUACCUUGCACAAUAGGCCCUCUUUUGAGUACUGCACAUUAGGGGCACUUAGUCAGACUCUAAAUUCACCGCAAAUAGACUGAAUUCACCCUGGACUACCUUCCAUCACAUGGAUCUCUGGUGAAUUUCCUUUCUACUCAGCAACAUUAGAGGUUUACUUUCCUGACUGUCCACCUGGUGUCCCAUGCCUCAGAGGGAAACCCUCAGACGUCACUGAAGGCACCUCCUAUACACCAGGUGACCCACACUUCCACAAGUGUGUGCCCAUCGGAGAUGCUGGCAGAAACCUGGCAGUGGCUUCUGGAGAAGGGAGGGGAGGGCAACUGCCAGAGAGCUGAAAAGCACUGAACCUCUUUAGCUGAUGUGUGAGAGAAUAGAAUUUUCCAGGAGUGGCCACAUGACAAGAGACAAGUGGAAAACAGAAGUUGGAAAGAUCAGAAGAACUCAGGAAUGAGACAGCACAAAGGACUGAGUGGGGCCUGCAGAUGGGGAACAAAUAAUUCUCUUGCAACCCAAGUCUUGGCCCACGUGGUGGGGAUGCAAGUUCAAGCUCAUACUCCCUGACAGGGGUGGCCAAGAGCAGCUCUGGUGAGUGGAUGUGUCAGCCCUGAGUCGCAUGCUGUGCAUGAGUGUCCUCUACCUUGGCUGCACAUGAAAACCACCUGGAAGCCUUUCAAGCCCCACUUUCCAACCUCAUGCCCAACCCACAGCCCAGACUAAACAGAACCGAAAAGGAAGACUUUACCAUGUGCAUGUGCAUGAUACCGGGGGAUCCCCAUGUAACAGUCUGUGUGAGGAGCUGGGCUUAGAAAUGAGCGUCCUUCUCACGGCCGGGUCAGGUAUUGACUGUGAAUAAGCAAGAGAUGAGCAGAGCUCCCAGAGGACAGGAGAAGCUAGGACAGGUGAGCAAAGGGACUGUUAGAAUGUGAUGAGUGGGAAUGAAGGGCACUAUGAGGACCCCAAACAGGGGCACCUAACCCAGCCUGGGGGGCCCUAAACUCCCCCAAGAGAGUCUUCAGCUGUACUUGGGGGAAAAAAAAUGCCGUCCAGCUACAUAAAAAAGGGGAGGCAAAUCCCAGCCAAGGCGUGAUCUAGUCCAGGGCUCUGAGGCCCAAAUAGGAGGCUGGGGGAGCUGGAGGUUGUCAGGCACAUCUGGGGCAAAGGGUGGAGGUGGGGAGUAUGAGAAGAGGCCAAGGACACAGAAAGGGGCCUGCGUGCCAAGCUAUAGAGACUGAACUUGACCUUAGCUAGGAGGACCCUCUGCAGGGCUUUAAGCCAAGGAGUAGAUGGAUGAGCCAAUGCAUGAUGGGUUGAGGUUACCAAGGAGGGCCUCCUGAAGGGGGUCAGGCUUGAGGCCAGGGAGGGACAGGACUGGGAAAACUGGGGCUCUGAUCAGCCGCUUCAGUUAGAGCUGCGGAAACCCUUCCCUUCCCCACGCCCUUUGAAACAGUUUGAAUCACAGACUCCCUGUGUUAAAGAUGUUUGUCUGUUAUUUGAAAGCUGUGGUUUCUCUUUAACAGAUUCUGGGCCCCAUCCUUUGACUAGGAACCAGGAAGGAAUGAAGGACACAUUCUCUUGCACAGAGAGCUAAUUACUGAAAUACAGUGGGCCUCACCAGGGUCGAUGGCGUCACUGUCUCUUCCUCCAACAGUUCUUAAAUUCUAACUGGUCAGAGUUUUUCAGUACAUUUUUAUGGGCUGCCCCAAAGCCAGCUGGAAUCUCUUUUUCCAUAAACUCUCCCUGAGACAAGUAGCUGCAUUUCACAUAUUAAAAAUGAAAAUGUCAAAAGGGUUGCUUAAAAGAAAAAAAAAACAAAAAAGCAACAGGCUCCUUUGGGAGGGCUCAGCUCAGGAGGGCUGGGUCAGACUCCAAAGGCAUCUGCCCGUUUUGUUGGGUGGUUUUUGGUUUGUUUUCGCAAAGUUGAUGGUCAGGUUAGAAUGAUGAUCAUAAUAACUUGUUUAUCGAGUCACUCAACAAAUACUUACUGGGCAUUUCUGAGUGCCAGGCCCUAGCUGGGCAUCAAGAUGAGAAGCUGCCUCAGGCCUGGUUGCCCCCUCCCCGCUGCCCUUCAGUGUCCAAAUACUUCAUCAUUGAUAGCAUUUUCACAGGCAAUUUUGUGAGCUAUAUGUGGUGUUAGUACCUGACUUUGCAGAGGAGGAAACUGAAACACUUAGAAAUUACAUAUGUUGCCCACAGUGGCAAUGCCACUAAGGAGAAGAACUUGAUGUUGGGUCAUCCAAGUCCAGAUGCCAAAUUCUGUGCAAGCUCUCUUGCACCUUUUAGCAACACCAGCUGUUACUGGCUUAAGGUGGGCCACAAUUCCAAGAGCUCACUGUCAUCUAUAAUCUGCCUAACAUCUAGCUUUGCCUUAAAACUCAUUUCCCUUUUGAGAGAAUUUCCCACUUUGCAGAACAAAGAUCUAGCUCCCAUAUUCCCCAGCCAUCGUGACUACAAAAGCCUAUUGGAGCCAAACCAUUCCCAGCAUGUCUUCCUGCUUUGGUGGUAAACAGGCAUAUGGGAAAUACCCCCUCAGCUAAUCAGAUACCUAUUUUAGGGGCUCUUGAGUGGUGAGGGGACCCUUGAGUUGGCCCCUGAAUCAGACUGUGCCUGCAAUCUUCUCUUGGCUAGAGCUCCUGCUGGGCUCCUCCCUUUGUCCAAGACUUUCCUGCAGCCUCUGUCUCAUUCUGUAGGGCCUCGUGAUCCUCCAGCAAGUUCUCCCUCUUUUAAGGUGAACUGAAUUGGUCCUGGUCACUUAUAACCAGAAAUCCUAGUGGACAGAGGUCACAGCACUGUAUCCUGUUUGCAGAGCAGGUAGAAAACAGCCACGUCCACUGUGCUGUGGCACUUUUGGAUGUUAUGAAAAUGUUAGUACAGUCGUCGCUUGUCCCAAGGUCCGAGGAACAUCAGAGCAGAGAGGCCCAGUUGCCCAGGUGUCUGCCUGCACCCUGUGCCAUCUCCUGUUCCUGAGUUCCUACUGGGCUCCAGACCUCUUAGCUGCCACCAAGCUUGUUCUCCUUGUGAUUCAACUUCCACCUGGGCCCUGCUCACCCUUUAAGGCUGGUGGAUGUGGAGAAGGAGGCUGGGUAAAGGCCAUGGGUAUGGUCUGCAGAAGGAGGAUCUGUGGGGGCUGCCGCAGAGGGCCUGGCGGCUCAAGAAGUGCUCAGGCAUGAGCUUUAAGGAGCUUCACCUACCCUCUGCUCUCAAGGAUUGUGAAAGGGGUUGUUCCAACCAGUUGCUGGAGAAAUAGAACCAACAGGAAAUAGAGACAUGUAUGUUAUUUAUCUGAGCUGUAUUUAUUUUAAAGAACAAGCUCACAGGAUUUGGGGCUGACAAGGCUGGGGUCUGCAGAGUGGCCAACAGACUGGAAACUCAGGUAAGAAUGAAUGCUCCAGUCUCGAGGCAGAGUUUUCUCUGCAAAGUCUCUGUGUUUACUCCGAAGGCCUUCACCUGAUUGGCUGUGGCCCACCCGCACAGUAUGGAAGGCAAUUUUCUUAAUGUCAGCUGGUGGUAGAAGUGAACCACAUUGUAAGAGACAGUCCCAGCUCCACACGGAUUGGUGUUUCAUUACACAACAGAGUCCUAUAGGCCAGGCAAACUGACACAAAAAAUUAAGUAGCGCAGAGCAGUUGGCUCCAUGAUGCCUCCUGUGAUGGUCAGGAAGACCACUGAGAAUAGUCAAGCUGAUGCUGAGUCAUGAAGAGGACACGACCCACCAACAGUGGGACUGGCCACAAAGGGUGGGUGUGUACAUUUCUCACAGUUCCAGUCUGAGCUCCUCUUUGCUUUUCCUGUGACCUGCACACACUAAGCCCCUUGUAGUCACACCCUCUAUUUUUUUCCACCCUAUCUUCUUGACAUCCCUGUUUUGGUUUGAUGUUCAGUGAAACCCUGUCCCCUGUGCGCACCUAUGUAACUCCCCAGCCACCCUGCUGCAUGCUGGCUGCUCCAGAUUUCCUGUCUUUUUAUCUUCUAACCACCGCUACUCCAGCCACCUGGAACAACGGAAGCCUCACAGGUGGGAUCCAGACCUUAGUGGUCUGAAUAACAUGUAGAAUGAAGCACUGUUAGCCCUGGCUCCUACCCUCAGAUUCCUCCUACCCGGCUCCCUCCACCCAGCUUCUCCCCAGAUGUUUCUCCUCUUUCAUGAGAGAAAGACGGGAUUUGCAUUGUGAUCUGGGGAAAAGCAACUCUAAGACAUGGACCUAAAGGUCCCAGCUGACCCUCUUCGAGCUAUGGCCCUGCUCAGGCCCAAAGACUGAGAGCAGAACAGGCAAGAGAUAGCGGUAAGAACGAAGGUUCUCUUUAAAAACCCACAAGAGUCUGAGGACAGCAUCAAAACCUCUCCAAGCAGAAAGAGGUCCUGAAGAUCACAGAGAAGUUCCCUCACCCAGGCAGGGUCUCCCUCUGAAAUUCAUGAAAAUGUCACAGAACACUCAACCAGAAAUGUUUUUAACCAAAUGUGGACAAUAGAAAACUCAGGAGCACUGCUGGAGACCUGGCAAAUCAAAAUGACAUGUAUCUCUGGAUAGAGGGAGAGACCCUGAUCAAAUUAUGGCUUGUCUGUUGACUUCCCAUUUGACCUUGAACAAGCCUUUCCUGCUUUCUAGUUUUUAGUUUCCCAUCUGAAAAGGAGAAGAGUGACUGCUUGGAAGGUGCUAUCAGGUGACUACCUAACCCUGACCCUGAGUCAUGGGUCUAACGCUUCCUAGCUGCAUGACCUUGGGCACAUCCCUGAAUCUCCUUAAACCUCACUUUCAUCAUCUACGAAGUGAGAGGGUCAUGGCCCUUGUCUUGCUCACCUUGCAGAACUGCUGUGGGGAGGAGAUAAGAAAAGGAAAAUGCCUUGUAUGAGCGCCAAAGAGCUGUUCCUAACAGAGGUAUUAUGAAUUCUGUUUUCCGUAAUGGAAGACAAAAUAGAACAACACAGAAACGGAGGAAGACAGGUUGCUGAAAGACAGAAGACCCACAUUCAAAGUGCUUUGACCUUCACUUCAUCUCCCCUGACAGCCAGGUGUUGAGACACAGCUGAAGAGAGUUCAAAGGCAAAGCAGACAGAUGGAAGUUGGAGAGUGGGGAAGGAGAAGGACCGGAGAGAACAACAACGGACCAGUCACCCAGCUUUGUCAGAGCCCGACAUUCUGCCAAGUUUGCCUCAGAUCUUUUCACUUUUUCUAAAAAAUAAAACAGCAUAGAUAUAAUUAAAUUCCCUGUAUUCUUCUCUCUUUCAGUUUUAUUUUUCCCUCCUAAAUUUGGAAUCUUUCAUUUCCCAUGCACAAUUUUAAUAUUUCGACAUACUACCUCAUAUUAGAACUAAAGAUAUAAGGAAGGGAAAAUAUAUACAUAUAUCUACGCAGCUAAGAUAAUUGUACCAUUAAUUUCUAU